GCCACCUUAGCUCAGGGGUAGAGCAGCUCACUCGUAAUGAGCAGGUCGUCGGUUCAAUUCCGACAGGUGGCUCCA
RNAcentral lists this transfer RNA (75 nucleotides) under Magnetococcales bacterium. RNAcentral describes it as "tRNA-Thr". It matches the Rfam family "tRNA". Rfam says of the family: Transfer RNA (tRNA) molecules are approximately 80 nucleotides in length. Their secondary structure includes four short double-helical elements and three loops (D, anti-codon, and T loops). Further hydrogen bonds mediate the characteristic L-shaped molecular structure. tRNAs have two regions of fundamental functional importance: the anti-codon, which is responsible for specific mRNA codon recognition, and the 3' end, to which the tRNAs corresponding amino acid is attached (by aminoacyl-tRNA synthetases). tRNAs cope with the degeneracy of the genetic code in two manners: having more than one tRNA (with a specific anti-codon) for a particular amino acid; and 'wobble' base-pairing, i.e. permitting non-standard base-pairing at the 3rd anti-codon position. Lineage: Bacteria; Pseudomonadati; Pseudomonadota; Magnetococcia; Magnetococcales. The record is from RNAcentral.